Long non-coding RNA from Mercenaria mercenaria, 4921 nucleotides. RefSeq lists it as uncharacterized. The transcript is spliced from 2 exons. Lineage: Eukaryota; Metazoa; Mollusca; Bivalvia; Venerida; Veneridae. The record is from RefSeq and is a predicted model, not a curated record.
UUUGGGUCCCAGUUAGGUGUCUGCGCAGAAUGUUUUUUGAUUUUAUUUAUACUUUGUGGUAAUAUACCUACAUGUAUUAAGUUUCAUUAACAAGUGUUACUGUUACCAGUUUUGACUUACUUUUAUAGAUAUUCACAUUUAAAGUAGGUGGAGUAAUCUGACAUGUGAUCAGCCAGGAACACAAUUUCUGUUAUCUUUUUUAAAAUGGUUCUAACUUUUUACCUGAAACUUUCAUGGUAAAAUAACUAAGCAAUGGACAUUCACCAUGUUGCAUUUUAAAUUGUACUGACUAUUUUUUUCAUUACAGAGCCACAGAGUGGUCUAAUCAAAUUUACUGAUUUUCAGUGGACAAACUUCACCCAAAAGCUAAAACACUUUUUAUUAGUUGAGAUAUUAAGGUGUUAUUUUCAGCAGAUAUUGUAAACUAAAUAAACAUUAAAAUGACAGUAUAUCAGUACACUCUGAUUAAUAUUGCAAGAGUGGUAUACUCUCAAACUAGAAAAAAGUGGGUGGGGUAAAUUCAUAUUCGAAGCAACACUACAAAAAUUGUGCAGUUGUUAAGAAAUGGCCACAGAUUGUCUAUUACUCUCUUAAUUUUAUGAAAUACAGCAUUGACUGAUAAGUUUUAGCAAAACAUUUCCCAGUUUAUGCAUGUGUGUCAUGGAAAAAGCAUGGACCGUGAACAUGACAUGUAGACAAACCAAAUUAACCCUAAAAGCUCAAAGUAUUUAACAAAAGGUUUUGCCUGAGGCAGUAUAUUUUGAGGAAAGCAAGCUAUUGUUCAUAUUAAGAUUAAAUUUUCUGCAUUCGCAAUUUCAAUGUAGUUUAGAAUAUACAGGAAUAUAGGUCUUCUACAUGUACCUGGUAGCUUUGACAGUCUCUUUCAGGUAGCCGUAGUGCAGGUAGUUUUAAUAUUCUAUCUAGUUUGUCAGAAAAUUUUUUGUUGGAUUUUUUUCGUACGUUCGAACAAAUAAGAGAACAGAAAAAGAAUUAAUUUCUUAAAAAAAAACACAAUUUGAAUUUUGUUCGUACGUACAAACAAAUCCAGGGUCUAUAUACAAAGAUUAAUUUUCAGUUCUGACAUUUUGUUUGAACAGCCCAGAUUUGUUCCUACGUACGAACAAAUUUCCAAAUUGCAUUCAAAAAUUAUUUUUCUUUUCUUAUAAUCAUUUGCUUGUAUGUACGAACAACCUGGAUUUGUUCGCACAUACAGAACAGAAAAAGAAUUAUUUUUUAAAAUAUGCAAUUUGGAAUUUUGUUCGUACGUACAAGCAAAUCAAGGGUCAGUAUACAAAGAUUUAUUUUCAGUUCUGACAUUUUGUUUGAACAGCCCUGAUUUGUUCGUACGUACGAACAAAUUUCAAAGUUGCAUUUAAAAAUUCUUUUUCUUUUCUCAUAAUCAUUUGUUCGUACGUACAAACAGCCUGGAUUUGUUCGUACGUACGAACAAAUGAGAGAACUAAAAAGAAUUUUAAAACAAAAAGCAAUUUAGAACUGUUUUCAUACGUACGAACAAAUCCAGGGACGUGCUGUAUGCAGAAGAUUAAUAUUCAGUUUUGACAUUUUGUUCGUACGUACGAACAAUCUGUGGACUAUAUGCAUUUGAAAAAUGCUCAAGACAUCAAAAGAAUUUCCAUAUCAGUCUGAGUUGUACGUACGAACAAAUAUGAAAACUGAAAAUUAAUCUUAAUGCAAUUUGGAAAAUUGUUCGUACGUACGAGUAUAUAUGAAAAUUGAAAAAGAGCCUGUAUGUUUUGUAAUAUUGUUCGUACGUAACAACAAAUCUGGGCUCUGUAUGCAUUUGAAAUAUAUUCAAGAUGUCCAAACAAUUUUUAUAAGAGCUUAGGUUGUUCGUACGUACGAACAAAAGUGCAUACAGUCCCAAAUUUUGUUCGUAUGUAGGAACAAUAUUCCAAAUGCUUACAGAUUCUUUUUCAGUUCUCACAUUUGUUCGUACUUACGAACAGCCUAGGCUGUUUUAGAAAUUGAUUGGAUGUCUAAACAUUUUUCAAAUGCAUACAGUGCCCAUAUUUGUUCGUACGUACGAACAAAGUAUCAGAACUGAAAAUUAAUCUGCUGCAUACAGUCCCUGGAUUUGUUCGUACAUACGAACCAAAUUCCAAAUUGCAUUUACAAAUAUUUUUCAGUUCUCACAUUUGUUCGUACGUACGAACAGCCCUGACUGAUAUGAAAAUUAUUGGGAUGUCUUAGAUAUUUUUCAAAUGCAUACAGUCCACAGAUUUGUUCCUACGUACAAACAAAAUGUCAGAACUGAAAAUUAAUUUCUUGCAUACAAUCCCUGGAUUUGUCCGUACGUACGAACAAAAUUCCAAAUUGCAUUUACAAAAUAGAGUUCUCACAUUUGUUCGUACGAAUGAAAAACUUAGACUGAUAUGAAAAUUUGUUUGGAUGUCUUGGACAUUUAUAAAUGCAAACAGUCCACAGAUUUGUUCGUACAUACGAACAAAAUGUCAGACCUGAAAAUUAAUCUCUUGCAAACAGUCCCUCAAUUUGUUCGUACGUGCGAACAAAAUUCCAAAUUGCAUUUUCAAAUAUUUCUUCAGUUCUCUCAUUUACAAACAAUUCCAGUCUGUUCGUACAAAUGACUGUGAGAAAUGAAAAAUAAUUUUUACAUGUAAUUUGAAAUUUUGUUCGUACGUACAAAUCUGGGCUGUUCGAACAGAAUGUCAGAACUGAAAAAUAAUACGGAAAAUGGAUUAUUGUUAGUACGUACGAACAGCCAGGAUUUGUUCGUACGUACAAACAAAAUUCCAAAUUACAUUUACAAAUUCUUUUACUGAUAUGGAAAUUCUUUGGAUGUCUUGGACAUUUUUCAAAUGAAUACAGUCCACAGAUUUGUUCGUAUGUACGAACAAAAUUCCAAAUUGCAUUUUACAGAUUCUUUUUAGUUCUCUCAUUUGUUCGUACGUACGAACAAAUCCAGGCUGUGUGUACGUAUGAUCAAAUGAAUGUGAGAAAUAAAAAAGAAUUUUUAAGCAAUUUGGAAUUUUGUUCGUACGUACGAACAAAUCUGGGCUGUUCGAACAGAAUGUCAGAACUAAAAUAAUGCGGAAUAUGGAUUAUUGUUUGUACGUACGAACAGCCAGGAUUUGUUCGUACGUACGAAAAAAAUUCCAAAUUGCAUUAAAAAUUUGAAAAAAAGAACAAGAAUAUGUGAACUUAAUUUUGAAUUUUGUUCGUACGUAGGAACAAAUUUUGAUUAUUUAUUGCUAUGGUCUGCGAUUUCUUGAAUUUUUGCUGUGAUUUUCACCGGUAAAAAGUCCAUAUAGCGGCAAAAAAGAGGGACAGACCGGAAGAUCCUCUUUUAUUCCGGAAGCAGAUAUUUUAUAUAUCCUUUUUAAAUACCAUUUCUCUCAAAAUCUACAUUAAAAUCUGACCACCUUAUAAAGGUACAUGUUGUCAUUUCUCAACAUAAAAUUAGUUCAAGGCUUAGCCAAGAUUUCACAUCUAUAGUGUACAAAACUGCCUAAAAGGAUGACAAGUCACAAAGUGAACAAGAUUUAGCAAUAAUCCAAAGUUCCUUUUAGGUAUUUCCAAAUUUAUUAGCACUGCUUAGAUACACUGGAAAUGACAUUUUCCGAACUUUCCGCGAUAACUACCGAAAUUGCAAACUCCAACGCAAUGAUCUCCCUUGCCGCUUCGCUCAUUGAUCACUGCCACCACAACAUUCACGUGACCUAGGUUCAUCACGUGAUGUCAGAUCGGUUAAAAAAAUAACUUAUGUAUUAAUAUGUCAUUAUGAUAACAAUAACAUAUCGUGGCCAGCAGGAAAAUAUUCAAAAGCCUCCAUCUGUUUCGGCCAGGGUCAAAUGGCAGCAUUAUAAUAGUGAACGGCGUCAAAGAUUAACGUCGAUAUACUCGUUUGUAUACUUUCAGUUUCAUUUCAAAAUACUUAACGGUCGUGUAAAUAAAUACCUAUUUUCAUUCGGAAUCAUUAUUAUUUUCAUUAUGGAACAUUCGCCUGUGCUAAAAGAAGUGUAAACUUCGAAAACAUUGGGGAAAAAAUAACUAAAUAAUCAUAUAACUAAAAGAAGUCCACUUAGCUAAAUUUUAGCUAAAAACAUUGUGUUGGCAGUGAUCAAUGAGCGAAGCGGCAAGGGAGAUCACUGCGUUGGAGUUUGCCGAAAUUGCUAACAUAUAAUUGAUUGCAUCAUAGAAACUUUAGAUAGGCAUUAUCCCGAUACAUGCAAAUAUCUUCCGAGCAAUCGUGAAACAGCAAGCCGCGGUAUUUCCGCGCCCGCAAUAUACAUUUCAGCUUGUGCUGCUAAUGACAUAUUCGUUACUUUCUUAGUGUGAAUGAAAACACUAUUCAAUUAAUAUCGUAUUACUGGUCCGCGGACUUAGACCUUACUAAAAAACAGGGUAGUCAGAUUUUCUAAUUUUAAAGCUGGAUGUUAAAAGGAAAUGAAACACCAAAAAUGUCCUCAAAAUAUCUUGGCACAUUUUGGAUAUCGCACAAUGCAUUAGGUUGAAAAUAGUACACGCUGUAUUCAUGCAUAACUGAACACAGGACAAUUUAUAAACAAUCGACAAUUACUACGCGACAGUUAAUUAUAGUUGAAGCUGCGCACACAGAAUUAAUUUAUAUAUUUAGUGAAGUUAGAUAUAUCUUAUGAGGAACUUCUACAAUUGAGGAAAAUAUCUAGAUAUAAAAUAUUGUAGUGGAUAUUUUUGAUGUAUUAUGUACCGUUAUAUGCAUGCAAUUUUGAAUUGUUAGAUAUAUCAUUUAUCAUCACGUUUUACAUCAAAUUAUUGACCCGAAAAUGAUACAUAGGAAACUAUUUAGUACAUUUGAUAAUGUAUUGUGAAAUGUUGAUCGGAUCGCUUUUCAAAUGAAACGUGUCCAUUAUUGUUUUUGUAGCAUUUUGAAACAUUUUAAUAAAAUUACAGAGCACAUGUA